CUUCUCCCAUGUGCUGAGGUGAAGUGGCUGCUCCUGCAGCACCUGGGGAGGAUCUGGCCUGAGACACCACUGCAGGGGGUUUUCCAUGGGUCAGUUUGCCGUUGGUCAUUUUUUGCUGGGGGUCAGUUUGCCAGGGCUUGGUUUGGGCUCAGCCAGGGGCUGGAGCGUGGCUCUGCAGUGCACAGAGCGGCUGUGGGGACACCAGGGACCGAGAGGCAGCAGGGUGAGAUCUGGGAGAAAUCCCAACUGAAAAAGGCUGAGGAAUUGGGGUGUCCCACAGGAAUGCAGAGGAGCUGGAGCCAAGCCAAAAGCCGCAGGUCCUGGUGAUGGCUGGAGCCCGGGACAGAUGUGGGGGAUUGUUGCAGUCAGCAACCUCAGGAUCUUGUCCAGGGAAGCAGCAGGAUUUUGGGGACCAGCAUCAAACACCAACGAGACGGGCCCCCGUUCAUGAAACCAUUUAUUCAGCACGAGAACAAAGUCAGGUCCAGAACAGAGAGCCCCGAACAGAGGCACAGCAGGGGUUUUUGAGGGACAGAACCCCCAAGGGUCCCCACCUUUGAGGGUGAAGCUCAGGGUCAGGAACCAUCAGAAACACAGCAAGGGAGAACCCCAGGGACUCAAACCCAAUCAGAGCACCUGGGCCGCCCUUCACAAGGGGUUUGGGGUGGGACAAUGGAACUCUUUGUCCCCCCGAGGCCGCUGCCACAGGGGAUCCUGGCCAGGGGAGCUCUGUCCCUGGGGAGACACAGCAACACCCCGAACCUCCACACGGGAAUGCCAGGGGCAGGACCGUCCCCUGCCCCUGUUCCAGGCGUGGGGUCCCGUCCCCACCGUCCCUCUGCUCUACUUGCAGGUGCCCCGCGCUGCAGGAGACCCUGGGCUCACCGGGGACAGCGUGGAGGGGUCGCCAUGGCACAGGGAGGAGAUGGAGAGAGCCCGUCUGCGGUCAGAGCAGAGACUGGAGGUGCAGGAGCAGCUGCUUGCCCUGCGGCACUGGCUGGACGCCGUAGAGAAGCGGCUGCUGGCGCUGCCAGAGCCCGGCACGGCCCUGCAGGUAACGCGUGGCCCUGGCUUGUGACUGAGCCUGCAGAGCCGGGCAGGACCAGCCCACGUCUGCACCGAGGCUGGUGAGGGCUUGGUCCUCGGAAGGGAGGAAGGAAUCCGGCCACAGCUGUCUGGGAGACCCUUCAGCACAGCCCUGCAACCAUCGGGUGUCAGGUGUGCUGCCUGCGGCUGCUGCUGCCCAGCCCGACAGCGCUGCUGGCUCGGAGCCCCGCGGAGCUCGUGGUGUCCCUGCCUUGGAGCCUUGCUGACCACAGGGCCACACCCGCACCAGCUUCGGCCACAGCUCGUGAUGCUGCUGCCCGGGCACGGAGAGAGCGGCUGAACAACAGGGGUGUGCGGCUGUGCGAGGAGAGAGCGGCUGAACAACAGGGGUGUGCGGCUGUGCCAGGGGUGUGCGGCUGUGCCAGGGGUGUGCGGCUGAACAACAGGGGUGUGCGGCUGUGCCAGGGGUGUGCGGCUGAACAACAGGGGUGUGCGGCUGUGCCAGGGGUGUGCGGCUGAACAACAGGGAUGUGCGGCUGUGUGAUGGGUGUGAGGCUGUGUGAUGGGUGUGCAGCUGUGCCAGGGGUGUGCGGCUGUGCAAUGUGUGUGCGGCUGUGCGAGGAGAGAGCGGCUGAACAA
This 1686-nucleotide long non-coding RNA is filed under the name Parus major (Great Tit). RNAcentral describes it as "lncRNA (ENSPMJG00000013486.1)". The record is from RNAcentral. Lineage: Eukaryota; Metazoa; Chordata; Aves; Passeriformes; Paridae.